Molecule: long non-coding RNA, 1000 nt
Organism: Fukomys damarensis (Damara mole-rat)
Lineage: Eukaryota; Metazoa; Chordata; Mammalia; Rodentia; Bathyergidae
Exons: 3
Source: RefSeq, a predicted model, not a curated record
AGGAAGGGUGCUACAGAGGAAAUUUGCUCACCUUAUGGCAGUCAGAAGGCAGAAAGAGAGUCUGUAUUAUCUGCAGAGAGCAGGGGAAAAGGACAUUAUUAGAACUCCUGCAGUGAGUCCUAGUCUCCUGCGAGCCACAAGGUUAAUGUCAUGCUCAGAACCAUGUAUGGCAAAUCACAAGCAAAGGCAGCCCCAGAGACUCUUGCAUAGAGAAGUCCGAGGACCGCAUAGUACCAGAAGGAGACACUGAGCUGUUGAGGCAGAAGAUCCAGACAGUGCUCCCACAUUCUCCAAUGGCCUUGGCUUCUCUGGCUUUGCAGGAGCUCCAGCCCCAGGCAUUCCUAACUGGACCAGCAAGCAACCUCUGGAUUGAGGUGGCCCCGGGGCAUGUCAAUUACACAGGGCGAGGCUAUCAAAGAAAAAGCCAAUUUUAGACCAUGUCAUCACAUUAGUGCAAAUUAGCUCUGAACUUUACAUGUCGUUAUAGGCAUUUUGUUUUACAGGGACAAACCUUUUCAUUCUACAAGCAUGAUAAAGACACACCACCCCCAACCUUUCCCAUCGUUACAAUUUCAUGAACACUUGCUUUCCCUCUCAAUAAGCACACCCUAGUAAGAAAUAAAUUGAUCUCUUAGAAGUGACAGUAGCAGUCCUCUCGCCUAGUCCAGCUGAGCCCUUGUCAUUCUCAAAGCUCUCUUCUUCCUCCUACCUUCUCUCCGCAUAUCACCUACAUCUGCUGGCACUGAGUAGCACUUUCUGCACAAUGACAGUUUUUCAAGACAAACACUGGUUCUUAAAAGAAUCUAGUGUCCUCAUUAAGAUCAAUCUUUUAAGGCCCUUCAACUAUUUUGGAAUUCUUAACUCUGUCCUUGUCCACUGAUUCAUCAGUAAUGCUGCCAGAUGCAAUGUAUCAUUCUAUAAGUCCAACUACUUGUCAAAAAUAGUAACUGAAUCCCCCAUAUUGCCAACUCAAAGCUUGGUCUUUUGAAGUUCAGAUACA